RNAcentral lists this ribosomal RNA (323 nucleotides) under Hoplopholcus sp. Tur32. RNAcentral describes it as "partial 12S ribosomal RNA". The record is from RNAcentral. Lineage: Eukaryota; Metazoa; Arthropoda; Arachnida; Araneae; Pholcidae.
UUUUAAAAMCAUAAGGUAGUAUUAAAUCAAAAAMCCAWAURRRRNGGCGGUCAUAAUAAAUUAGAGGAAMUSGSUUUAUAAUNGUCAAUACCCGAUAAAUUUUACUUAAUAAAAACAACUUAUAUACCGCCGUUACAGAUUAUAUUAAAUAAUAUAAAUCAAAUAAUAUUUACAUCAAAAAUCAGGUCAAGGUGUAGUUAAUUNNUAAGAAAAAGUAAGUUACAAUAAAAAUAAUNUAAGGAUUAAAUUAAAAAAAAAAAUGAAAAAGAAUCUAAUAUUAAAUUCAAAUUAAAAUAUUAAAUAGAAUAUUAAAUUAAUGACGC